AUACGUACUGUGCGAACGUUAUUGGGAAUCACUGGGCUUAAAGGGUGCGUAGGCGGCCAGAUAAGUAGGAUGUGAAAUCCCCCGGCUUAACCGGGGAACUGCGUUCUAAACUGUUUGGCUUGAGUAAGAUAGGGGUGUGCGGAACUUCCGGUGGAGCGGUGAAAUGUGUUGAGAUCGGAAGGAACACCAGUAGCGAAGGCGGCACACUGGGUCUUAACUGACGCUGAGGCACGAAAGCUAGGGUAGCGAACGGGAUUAGAUACCCUAGUAGUCC
Molecule: ribosomal RNA, 274 nt
Filed under: uncultured bacterium
Lineage: Bacteria
Description: partial 16S ribosomal RNA
Rfam family: Bacterial small subunit ribosomal RNA
Source: RNAcentral